AUAAGACCUGCAGGACUCUAUCCAACAUCU
This 30-nucleotide transfer RNA is filed under the name Salamandra longirostris. RNAcentral's name for it is "partial tRNA-Ala". Lineage: Eukaryota; Metazoa; Chordata; Amphibia; Caudata; Salamandridae. The record is from RNAcentral.